GAAUUUUGGACAAUGGGCGAAAGCCUGAUCCAGCAAUGCCGCGUGCAGGAUGAAGGCCUUCGGGUUGUAAACUGCUUUUGUACGGAACGAAAAGCUUUGGGUUAAUACCCUGGAGUCAUGACGGUACCGUAAGAAUAAGCACCGGCUAACUACGUGCCAGCAGCCGCGGUAAUACGAAGGGUGCAAGCGUUAAUCGGAAUUACUGGGCGUAAAGCGCGCGUAGGUGGUUUGUUAAGUUGGAAGUGAAAUCCCCGGGCUCAACCCGGGAACUGCCUUUGUGACUGCAAGGCUAGAGUACGGCAGAGGGGGGUGGAAUUCCGCGUGUAGCAGUGAAAUGCGUAGAUAUGCGGAGGAACACCGAUGGCGAAGGCAACCCCCUGGGCCUGUACUGACGCUCAUGCACGAAAGCGUGGGGAGCAAACAGG
Molecule: ribosomal RNA, 425 nt
Filed under: uncultured bacterium
Lineage: Bacteria
Description: bacterial SSU rRNA
Rfam family: Bacterial small subunit ribosomal RNA
Source: RNAcentral